AACGAACGCUGGCGGCAUGCCUAACACAUGCAAGUCGAACGAAACCUUCGGGUCUAGUGGCGCACGGGUGCGUAACGCGGGGGAACCUGCCCUUAGGUUCGGAAUAACUCCCCGAAAGGGGUGCUAAUACCGGUUAAUGUCUUCGGACCAAAGAUUUAUCGCCUUUGGAUGGGCCCGCGUUGGAUUAGCUGGUUGGUAGGGUAAAAGCCUACCAAGGCGACGAUCCAGAGCUGGUCUGAGAGGAUGAUCAGCCACGAUGGGACUGAGACACGGCCCAGACUCGUACGCGAGGCAGCAGUGGGGAAUAUUGUACGAUGGGCGAAGGCCUGAUACAGCAAUGCCGGGUAAGUGAUGAAGGCCUUAGGGUUGUAAAGCUCUUUUAGCCGGGAUGAUAAUGACGGUACCGGGAGAAUAAGCACCGGCUAACUACGUG
Molecule: ribosomal RNA, 433 nt
Filed under: uncultured bacterium
Lineage: Bacteria
Description: partial 16S ribosomal RNA
Rfam family: Bacterial small subunit ribosomal RNA
Source: RNAcentral